CCUACGGGUGGCUGCAGUGAGGAAUAUUGGUCAAUGGCCGAGAGGCUGAACCGCCAAGUCGCGUGAGGGAAGACGGCCCUACGGGUUGUAAACCUCUUUUGUUGGGGAGCAAAGCGAGUCCCGUUUGACCCAUUUAGAUUACCCGUAUAAAAAGCAUCGGCUAACCCCGUGCCAGCAGCCGCGGUAAUACGGAGGAUGCGAGCGUUAUCCGGAUUUAUUGGGUUUAAAGGGUGCGCAGGCGGAGGUGCAAGUCAGCGGUCAAAUUGCGGGGCUCAACCCCGUACUGCCGUUGAAACUGGAAGCCUUGAGUGCGGGAGAGGUAGGCGGAAUGCGUGGUGUAGCGGUGAAAUGCAUAGAUAUCACGCAGAACUCCGAUUGCGAAGGCAGCAUACCGGAGCGCAACUGACGCUCAUGCACGAAAGCGUGGGUAUCGAACAGGAUUAGAUACCCUUGUAGUC
This 458-nucleotide ribosomal RNA is filed under the name uncultured bacterium. Its description in RNAcentral is "partial 16S ribosomal RNA". It matches the Rfam family "Bacterial small subunit ribosomal RNA", at positions 338 to 795 of the family's 1533-position model. The record is from RNAcentral.